RNAcentral lists this transfer RNA (61 nucleotides) under Echinoparyphium aconiatum. RNAcentral's name for it is "tRNA-Ser". The record is from RNAcentral. Lineage: Eukaryota; Metazoa; Platyhelminthes; Trematoda; Plagiorchiida; Echinostomatidae.
GGGAGUUAUAUGAGUUGUCGCUGCUAACGACAAUUGGAAUAUUAAAUUUAUUCAGCUUCCU